Molecule: ribosomal RNA, 253 nt
Filed under: uncultured bacterium
Lineage: Bacteria
Description: partial 16S ribosomal RNA
Rfam family: Bacterial small subunit ribosomal RNA
Source: RNAcentral
UACGGAGGGUGCAAGCGUUAAUCGGAAUUACUGGGCGUAAAGAGUGCGUAGGUGGUUUAGUGUGUUAGAUGUGAAAUCCAUGGGCUUAACCUGUGAAUUGCAUUUAAAACUGCUGAGCUAGAGUGUUGUAGAGGGUGGCGGAAUUUCCAGUGUAGCGGUGAAAUGCGUAGAUAUUGGAAGGAACACCAGUGGCGAAGGCGGCCACCUGGACAAACACUGACACUGAGGCACGAAAGCGUAGGUAGCGAACAGG